Molecule: ribosomal RNA, 444 nt
Filed under: uncultured bacterium
Lineage: Bacteria
Description: bacterial SSU rRNA
Rfam family: Bacterial small subunit ribosomal RNA
Source: RNAcentral
CCUACGGGUGGCAGCAGUAGGGAAUAUUGCGCAAUGGGCGAAAGCCUGACGCAGCGACGCCGCGUGGGUGAUGAAGGCCUUCGGGUUGUAAAACCCUGUCCUUGGGGAAGAAGGAAGUGACGGUACCAUAGGAGGAAGCCCCGGCUAACUACGUGCCAGCAGCCGCGGUAAUACGUAGGGGGCAAGCGUUAUCCGGAAUUACUGGGCGUAAAGGGUGCGUAGGCGGUUUAUCAAGUCAGGGGUGAAAGGCUACGGCUCAACCGUAGUGAGCCUCUGAAACUGGUGAACUUGAGUGUAGGAGAGGAAAGUGGAAUUCCCAGUGUAGCGGUGAAAUGCGUAGAUAUUGGGAGGAACACCAGUGGCGAAGGCGACUUUCUGGACUACAACUGACGCUGAGGCACGAAAGCGUGGGGAGCAAACAGGAUUAGAUACCCCAGUAGUCAC